UCUAAAGGAACACAACCUAUAAUUGGGACAAUCCCUUUUCUCAUUCCUAAGAGGUGAUGUGGCCGGGGCGGGACCUCCAGACCUCCAGCAACUGUGACUGGCACUCUCCCCGCGAUCAGCAAGUGCUACCUUGUCCUUUCCCUAGCGUUGUACAGUUUACGAAAUCAACUAACACGUUGAUUUCAUCUUCCCAGCAACCUAGGGAGGCAAAAAUGCUCAUCUCCCCCAUCCAAAACACCCCAGAAGAUCAGAGAGAUGGAGAAAAGAAAAGGCGUGGCUACGAGCUGUGGUGGGGAAGGCGGGUGGAAUCCUGCAGCCUGAGCUGGAAACCGCUACCCGCUCAGCAGUGACCCAGUGUAUUUAUUCGCACCGGGAGGGGCAGCUGGCGCACAGAGGGCAUGAAGACUCUCCUCGCUCUCACACUGCAGGCAGCUAAGUCGCUGUGAAAGACGGCAGCGUUACCCCCGACCCCGUCGCCCCCGACUCGCUCCCACCACCCCGACUUGCUAGUUCCACAACCCUAGAGCUGCCAGCGCACGCCAGUCCCCUUCGCUACUCCGCCGGAAGUCCCGCCUGCGCCGUCGACGCGCCCCAUUGGGUCGGAUCCUGGGGCAUCACCGCAGAUGCGCCUUCCCUGGUGUGAGCUCUGGGCGGCCACGACUAGCCCCAGAUGGGGCCAGGUUUGAGGCCCGCGAAGGCGCGGGGCCUCACGCGGCAGACGGGCUCAGUGGCGCGGGACAGGGAGCGCCUGGCCGGUGGCGGGACUUCCGCCACGGGACCCGGAAGGGGCCGCGCCGCCGUUACUGGGAGUUGUAGUCUGACAGCUGUUGGGGCACCGGCGGCUCGUGCGCGGUGCCCAGAGGCUUGUUUCAAAAUCUGUAGCAGGUGAAUUGGGGUUUUUAUUCUGCCCUUUCGUGCCCUCUUGAGGAGUCUGCCGCGGCCAGGUUUGUCAGCGCGAGGAGAGGACCCGGUCGGACCGCCGGCCAGGCGGAGAGUGGGCCGGAGAAGCCGGCGGGCCCGAGGAGCAGGCCGGGCAUCCUUGCCCUGCCUGGGAAGCCGGGCGGGCCUAGGUUUGCCGUUGCCAUGGAGACCGGUCAGCCGGGCCUUGCCGCCAGGGAUUCCGCAGAGGCCGCGAGAAAGGCCGUUUCGUUGGCGCAACGACGCCCUCGCCUCAGGGGAUGCUCCGUUUCCCCAGGCAGGGCCUUGAGGAAGCCUCCAGAGUGAUUCCAGCUUUCCCUCCUGGCCAGAGUGUUCAGCCUGGACUCAUUCAGAAAAGGGUGAUUGAGGUCCCGGAGGACAGACAGCUGCAAAACAUGAUUGAGGUCCCAGAAGACAGACCGUUGCAAAACGUGAUUGAGGUCCUGGAGGCCAGAUGGCUGCAGGAGUUGGAUGAGGUCUCAGGGGACAGACAGCUACAGGAGGUGGAUGAGGUCCUGGCAGACAGACAACUGCAGGAGGUGGAUGCAGUCCCGGAGGACAGACAGCUGAAGGAGGUAUUUGAGGUCCUGGUGGAUGGACAGCUAUAGGAGGUAGAUGAAUUCCCGGAGACAGACAGCUUCAGGAGGUAACUGAGGUCCCAGAGGACAGACAGCUACAGGAGUUGGAUGCGUCCUAGAAGACAGACAGCUUCAGGAGGUAAUUGAGGUCCCAGAGGACAGACAGCUGGAGGAGGUGAUUGAGGUCCCAGAGGACAGACAGCUGGAGGAGGUAGAUGAGGUCCCGGAGGACAGACAGCUUCAAGAGGUGAGUGAAGUCCCAGAUGACACUCAGGUGGAGCAGGUGGCCGGCAGCCUAUCAGUGGUUCUGAAGGGCCAGCCAUGAAGUAGAAAAAGUAGUGCAAUUCUGACAAAGAAUGAGGCUCCCCUUCAGCCCUAUUGACCUGCAAGGCAGAAGGAGGCAAUGUUUUGAAAUAUAUUAAUUUGAUGGACAGAAGCACCAACACAAGCUGCACCUUAUAACACAGGUGAUAGUCCCUUGUACCUCCCCCUUCUCCACGUUUCAAAAUAGCAGCAUCAGUGCCAUAAAGUUUCCCUUCCACUGCGUCCUGCCAGCAGGGGAGUGAAGAAAAAAUCAUGAGGACAAACUGCUGUCCUCACAUGCCACUGUGUCUGCCUGCAAAUGUAGGCAGGCUGGGGGCCUGUCCCAGGGAAGGCAAAGACAUUGCACAGUAAUAAAGAAGCAUGUUUUUGGGCCGGGCGCGGUGGCUCAUGCCUGUAAUCCUAGAACUUUGGGAGGCCGUGGUGGGUGGAUCACCUGAGGUCAGGAGAUCAAGACCAGCCUGGCCAUCAUGGUGAAACCCCAUCUUUAAAACAAAAAAAAAAAAGAGAAGCAUAUUUUUGACACAGGGAUAUCUAUGUAUAUCCUCAUUCCUCCCUCACCACCAUCACAGGAGCAUGUUCCUUGCAUCACAAAGAGAGGAAUAAAAAGCCCCUGUCCACACGAGUCGCAGCUACUCUUAAGAAUGUUUUUGAGGCCUUUCAUGUUCUGUCUCUGAU
Molecule: RNA transcript, 2495 nt
Organism: Sapajus apella (tufted capuchin)
Lineage: Eukaryota; Metazoa; Chordata; Mammalia; Primates; Cebidae
Exons: 4
Source: RefSeq, a predicted model, not a curated record